UAUGAAUAAGGAUCGGCUAACUCCGUGCCAGCAGCCGCGGUAAUACGGAGGAUCCGAGCGUUAUCCGGAUUUAUUGGGUUUAAAGGGAGCGUAGGUGGACUGGUAAGUCAGUUGUGAAAGUUUGCGGCUCAACCGUAAAAUUGCAGUUGAUACUGUCAGUCUUGAGUACAGUAGAGGUGGGCGGAAUUCGUGGUGUAGCGGUGAAAUGCUUAGAUAUCACGAAGAACUCCGAUUGCGAAGGCAGCUCACUGGACUGCAACUGACACUGAUGCUCGAAAGUGUGGGUAUCAAACAGGAUUAGAUACCCUGGUAGUCCACACAGUAAACGAUGAAUACUCGCUGUUUGCGAUAUACAGUAAGCGGCCAAGCGAAAGCAUUAAGUAUUCCACCUGGGGAGUACGCCGGCAACGGUGAAACUCAAAGGAAUUGACGGGGGCCCGCACAAGCGGAGGAACAUGUGGUUUAAUUCGAUGAUACGCGAGGAACCUUACCCGGGCUUAAAUUGCAGUGGAAUGAUGUGGAAACAUGUCAGUGAGCAAUCACCACUGUGAAGGUGCUGCAUGGUUGUCGUCAGCUCGUGCCGUGAGGUGUCGGCUUAAGUGCCAUAACGAGCGCAACCCUUAUCUUUAGUUACUAACAGGUUAUGCUGAGGACUCUAGAGAGACUGCCGUCGUAAGAUGUGAGGAAGGUGGGGAUGACGUCAAAUCAGCACGGCCCUUACGUCCGGGGCUACACACGUGUUACAAUGGGGGGUACAGAAGGCAGCUAGCGGGUGACCGUAUGCUAAUCCCAAAAGCCUCUCUCAGUUCGGAUCGAAGUCUGCAACCCGACUUCGUGAAGCUGGAUUCGCUAGUAAUCGCGCAUCAGCCACGGCGCGGUGAAUACGUUCCCGGGCCUUGUACACACCGCCCGUCAAGCCAUGGGAGCCGGGGGUACCUGAAGUACGUAACCGCAAGGAUCGUCCUAGGGUAAAACUGGUGACUGGGGCUAAGUCGUAACAAGGUAGCCGUACCGGAAGGUGCGGCUG
This 1027-nucleotide ribosomal RNA is filed under the name Bacteroides fragilis. Its description in RNAcentral is "bacterial SSU rRNA". It matches the Rfam family "Bacterial small subunit ribosomal RNA", at positions 481 to 1520 of the family's 1533-position model. Lineage: Bacteria; Pseudomonadati; Bacteroidota; Bacteroidia; Bacteroidales; Bacteroidaceae. The record is from RNAcentral.